Molecule: ribosomal RNA, 39 nt
Filed under: Pratylenchus brachyurus
Lineage: Eukaryota; Metazoa; Nematoda; Chromadorea; Rhabditida; Pratylenchidae
Description: partial 28S ribosomal RNA
Source: RNAcentral
GAUCACCCGCUGAACUUAAGCAUAUCAUUUAGCGGAGGA